ACUCAACACUAACAUUUUAAAAUGGGUAAAUCGCCGCUUCUAUAGCAUGCUGCCUCGAGCAGAUCCUUGAACAGCGGGUUAGCCCAAAACUUGUCUAAACGAGUUU
Molecule: small RNA, 106 nt
Filed under: Flavobacterium cerinum
Lineage: Bacteria; Pseudomonadati; Bacteroidota; Flavobacteriia; Flavobacteriales; Flavobacteriaceae
Description: 6S-Flavo RNA
Rfam family: 6S-Flavo RNA
Source: Rfam by way of RNAcentral